Molecule: transfer RNA, 73 nt
Filed under: Candidatus Competibacter denitrificans Run_A_D11
Lineage: Bacteria; Pseudomonadati; Pseudomonadota; Gammaproteobacteria; Candidatus Competibacteraceae
Rfam family: tRNA
About the family: Transfer RNA (tRNA) molecules are approximately 80 nucleotides in length. Their secondary structure includes four short double-helical elements and three loops (D, anti-codon, and T loops). Further hydrogen bonds mediate the characteristic L-shaped molecular structure. tRNAs have two regions of fundamental functional importance: the anti-codon, which is responsible for specific mRNA codon recognition, and the 3' end, to which the tRNAs corresponding amino acid is attached (by aminoacyl-tRNA synthetases). tRNAs cope with the degeneracy of the genetic code in two manners: having more than one tRNA (with a specific anti-codon) for a particular amino acid; and 'wobble' base-pairing, i.e. permitting non-standard base-pairing at the 3rd anti-codon position.
Source: Rfam by way of RNAcentral
GAAAAAGUAGCUCAAUCGGUAGAGCAUCUGAUUUGUAAUCAGACGGUAGGGGGUUCGAUUCCCUCCUUUUUCU